UUCAGGCUGCCAGAUGUGGAGAACUCUAUGUGUCCACAGGACAGGUAGAAAACAGGCAGUAGCAAUGCUGGCCUGCCCACACUGCCCUCUCCAUGGUCUUCAACAACAAGCAGCCACCUCUGAGGAUGAGAGUUUAGCUUAGAAUCUGGUCUCUUGCUGAACCUGCCAAAACU
RNAcentral lists this small RNA (173 nucleotides) under Serinus canaria (Common canary). RNAcentral describes it as "TUC338 (ENSSCAG00000015073.1)". Lineage: Eukaryota; Metazoa; Chordata; Aves; Passeriformes; Fringillidae. The record is from RNAcentral.